RNAcentral lists this ribosomal RNA (859 nucleotides) under Gammarus lacustris. Its description in RNAcentral is "partial 16S ribosomal RNA". The stretch from base 373 to 533 matches the Rfam family "Archaeal large subunit ribosomal RNA", at positions 1878 to 2091 of the family's 2987-position model. The record is from RNAcentral. Lineage: Eukaryota; Metazoa; Arthropoda; Malacostraca; Amphipoda; Gammaridae.
AAAGAGUAAGAAAUUUUGGUAAGUUUACCUUUUGUAUCAGGGGAAGUCAAAAGUAAAAUUAGUAAAAUAUCGAUUUAAGUAGAGCUUUGGGUAAAGAAAUUAUAAUUGAAUUUAUAGUUUUAAUGGAGUCAUGUGGUGAAAAAUGUACGGUGCUUAUGGUAACUAUUUGUUUUUUUGUUGAAGGGUAAGCUUUCAUUAGUUUAAGCAUAAAAAAAAAAUUAGAGAAUUAGGCUUUGUAUUAGCCAAAUUAUUAAAUUGUUUUAAAUAAUCUAGUAAAACAAAGUAAGUUUAAAAUUAAAAGACUUAGUCUAUUAGUGGUAAUAGGCUUAAAUAAUGAAUUUAUUGAAUAAAGCUCGGAAUACUUAAAUAACUCAUGAUAGGUUAGAAUGUUUAACAAAAACAUUUUCUUUUGAGGUAAAUAAGAUAAGACCUGCCCGGUGAUUUUUAACGGCUGCGGUAUUUUGACUGUGCUAAGGUAGCAUAAUCAUUUGCUAUUUAAUUGGUAGCUGGAAUGAAAGGUUAAACUAACUUGUUUAGUUUGUUGUGUUUGUUAAGAAAUUAAAGUCAAGGUAAGAAUUCUUUGAUCUACUAGGGGACGAUAAGACCCUAGAAGCUUGACGAUAAGAAUAUUUAUUAGUUAUAAAGAUUAAUUUGUUUUACUGGGGCGGUAAAGGUAUAUAAACUACUAGAUUAUUGAUGGAUCCUUAAAAUAAAGAUAAACCGGAAAAGUUACUCUAGGGAUAACAGUGCAAUAUUUUUGGAGAGAUCUUAUCGAUAAAAAUGUUUGCAACCUCGAUGUUGAAUUAAAAUGUCUACGUGAAGCAGCAGGUACGUAAGAAGGUUUGUUCAACCUUGAAUU